This 4904-nucleotide long non-coding RNA is filed under the name Homo sapiens (human). RNAcentral's name for it is "non-protein coding LINC00265:20". The record is from RNAcentral. Lineage: Eukaryota; Metazoa; Chordata; Mammalia; Primates; Hominidae.
GUGACAACGGCAAGCUGGCUGCAACGAAGCCGCCCACGUAGGCCUCCCCGGCCUGCUGGAGGAGAGGGGAUCCCCCGGGGCAGAGGCGGCUACACCCGGAGAACCCGGAAACCGGAAGCGCAGAUCCUGCCGGCUCUGGACUAGCCGCUCAGCACCAGGGCGGAAGGAAGACGAGGCGAGGCAAGCGCCAAGCUUCCAUCCGGACUUCAAGGCCAGUGGCUGGGUCUGGUUUUCUCAACACGGCCUCCUAGUCUCCUUCCCGCUUGGGCAUCUGUUUUUCUUAUAUAGACCCUGAAGCCGCCCGUGAUGUUCUGUAAGCAGGUUCCGCUUCAGAAUCAGAGGUACUUAAGAGGGAACCUGGAUGCUAGACCUGCCCUUGCUGCUGGCCUCAGUUUCUUUACCUGUAAAACAGGGAUUUUGGAACUGUUAAAUUAAAUCAAACUUAAAAGAAUUACAACUUAAAGCUGCUGGAACUUUACAUGAUCCCGAGCCUUGAGAGGAAUGUGGCUAUGCAGCCUGAGUCAUGUGGCAUGCAGAUGCAACCUCUGCCUUUUUCCGCUGUAAAUAAUUAAGAAGACCAAGUAGCAUCCAAGAGUCACCUAAGCUGAAGAUUCCCUUGAGAACAAGUACUGUCCUGUGGUUUCAUGGCCUUUCUUCCAUUUGUGGUUCUUGCCAAGCGGAAUUUAAAUGACAUCUUAUCAAGAUGGAUAAACCCUAGUUUCCCAGUGCUGGAAUAUAGAAAAUGGAUGGACAAGUAAAUCCCACUCAGCACCCAUAGCCCAGGCAUGGGGACCUCAACACAUUUGAGCCGCAGAGAUCACCUUUCAUUGUGAAUAGCUCUGAGAUGAUACUUCUGGUUGAAUGUCUUUUUGUCACUUCCGGCUGGAUCUACCAUGAAAGAUUUCUGAAUCCAGGAAGAGAGAUUGACUGGGCAACAUGUUAUUCAGAAACAGGACCUUGCCCUGUCACUCAGGAUGGAGUUCAGUGGUCCAAUCAUGGCUCAUUGUAGCCUCAAACUCCCAGGCUCAAGCAAUCCUACCACGUCAGUCUUCCCAGUAGCUGACAGGGUCUCACUCUGUCGCCCAGGCUGGAGUGCAGUGGCAUGAUCUUGGCUCACUGUAGUGUAGACUUCCCAGCCUCAAGGGAUCCUCCCACCCCAGACUCCCAAGUAGCUGGAAUUACAGGUCUCAUGCUCUCACUCAGGCUGCAGUACAGUGGCACAACCUCUACUCACUGCAGCCUCUACCUGCCAGGCUCAAGCAAUUCUCCUGACUUAGCCUCCCGAGUAGCUGGGAUUACAGUUGAAGCAUAUGUCCUGUGAGCUUAGGGGUGCUACAAGUUGACCACUGCAGCAGUAAAGAUGAUUCUGAAGAAUGGCAUGGGAUGGAUCCUUUCGAAUGCACUUGAGCAGCGGUCUCCAACCACAGGGCCACAGAGCUGGAGCUGGAUCUACCAUGAAAGACUUCUGAAUCCAGGAAGAGAGACUGACUGGGCAACAUGUUAUUCAGGAGAUGGGGUCUCACCCUGUCGCCCAGGCUUGAGUACAGUAGUGCUAUCACAGCUCACUGCAGCCUUGAACUCCUGGGCUAAGGAUCCUCCUACCUGAGCCUCCUGAGUAGCUGGGACUGUAGGGUCUCCCUCUGUUGUCCAAGGCUGGAGUGUAGUAGUGCUAUCACAGCUGACUGCAGCCUCAACCUUCCAGGCUGAAGCGAUCCUCCCAUCUCAACCUCCCACGUGGCUGAGACUACAGGCGCUUGCCACUAUGCCCAACUAAUAUUUGGAAUUUUCCUAUACGUGGAUUCCAGAGGGGUGACAGCGAAACGUGGGACCAUCCAGUUGCAGGAAAACGAGCUUAACACGCCCACUGAUUCUACAUUAUGCUCCUACCUCCCGGCAGCCUCUCCAGGCCCAGAACUUUCUCCAGUCGGCCUCCACAGACCAAGCUCAUGACUCACAAUGGCCUAUUUAGGCCCAUACCCUACCUCACGGCAGUCUCCGCAGAUGAGGCUACUGCCUCACAACAGCCUCCACAGGCACAGCUCCAUCGUUACAAUGGCCUCUUUAGACCCAGCUCCUGCCUCCCAGCCUUCUCUCUAGGCCCUGAACUUUCUCAAGUCGACGUCACCAGGCCCAGCUCAUGCUUCUUGGCAGCCUCUCCAGGCCCAGCUCUUCCUCCCGGCGGCCUCUGCAGGCCCAGACUGUCAUCAAGUCGGCCUGUCCAGGGCCAGCUCCUGCCUCCCGGCGCCCUCUGCAGGCCCAAGUCGUCCUCAAGUUGGCCUCCCCAGGCCCAGCUCCAGCCUCUCGGCGGCCUCUCCGGGUGCAAAAGUUCCUCGAGUCAGCCUCUCCAGGCCCAGCUCCUCCUGCCUCCCAGUGCCUCUUUCGGCCCAGCCCAGCUCAUGCCUCUGGGCGGCCUUCCCAGGCCCCGCUUUUGACUUUUGGCGGCCUCUGCAGGCCUCGACAAGGCCCGGCCUCCUGCCUCCCGAAGCCUGCACAGGCCCAGCCUCUGCCUCACAGCAGACUCUCCACGCCCAGCUAGCUCUCGCCUCACUGCGGCCUCCCCAGUCCAAAGCUCCUGCCUCUCGGCCGCUUCGGCAGGCCCAGCUCCCGCCUGCCAGUGCCUCUUCAGGCCCAUGGGGCUCAUUCCUCACAACGGCCUUUCCAGGCCCCGUUUUUCCCUUCCGGCGGCCUCUCCGGGCCCAGAACCUCCUCAAGUUGGCCUCUCCAGACCCACUUGCACCCUCCGGGCGUCCUCUCCAGGCCCAGCUCUUCCUCCCGGCUGCGUCUCCAGGCCCGACUCCUGCCUCCCAACAACCUCUUUGGACUCAGUGCCUGCCCAUCUCCUGGCGGCCUUGGUCGGCCCACAGCUUCCUCAAGCCAAGCUCCCCAGGCCCAGGUCAGGCCUCACGGUGGCCUCUCCAGGAUCAGCUCCUGCCCUCCGAUGGUGUCUCCAGGCCCCAAAUGGUCUCCGGCCAGUGGGCUCCUCCACGCCCAGCUUGGGCCUCCCGGCGACCUCUGCAGGCCCAAGUCGUCCUGAAGUCGGCCUCUCCCGGCCCUGCCUCCCAGCAAGUAAGCAAGCUUUUUUGGCUUAGCUCCUGCCCAGCUCCCAACCGCCUUUGUAGGCCCCGAACUUUCUCCAGCCAAGCUCUUCGGGCCCACCUCCUGCCUCCCGGUGGCCUGUACAGGCCCAGCUCUGGCUGGAGAACAGCCUCUGCAGGCCCCGCUCUUGCCUCCCAGGGGCCUCUCCAGGCCCAGCUCUCGCCCCCACAGCGGCCUCCCGGGGCCAAGUCCCUGCCCCCUGCCUCAACAGGCCACCGUGAGGGAGGAGCAGGGCCGCACGCGGGCUGCCGGAAGGCGGACAGGGACUUGGCCCCGGGAGGCCGCGGUGGGGCAAGAGCUUGGCCUGGAGACGCCCCUGGGAGGCAACAGCAGGGCCUGCAGACGCUCUUCUCCAGCCAGAGCUGGGACUGUACAGGCCACUGGGAGGCAGGAUGUGGGCCUGAAGAGCUUGGCUGCAGAAACUUUGGGGUCUACAAACGCCGGCGAGAGCUGAGCCGAAAGAGCUUGCUUGCUGGGAGGCAGGAGCUGGGCCGGGAGAUGCAGCCAGGAGGAACAGCUGGGCCUGCAGAGGCCGCCAUGCGGGAGGCAGAGGCUGGGCCUCCUCAAGUUGGCCUCUCCAGACCCACUUGCAGCCUCCCGGCGUCCUCUCCGGGCCCAGCUCUUCCUCCCGGCUGCGUCUCCAGGCCCAACUCCGGCCUCCCAACAAGGUCUUUGGACUCAGCUCCCCCGCAGCUUCCAGCGGCCCUGGUAGGCCCACAACUUCCUGAAGCCAAGCUCCCCAGGCCCAGCUCAGGCCUCACGGUGGCCUCUCCAGGCUCAGCUCCUGCCCUCCGACAGCGUCUCCAGGCCCCAAACGGCCUCCGGUCGGUGGGCUCCUCUAGGCCCAGCUUGGGCCUCCCGGCAGCCUCUGCAGGCCCAAAUCGUCCUGAAGUCGGCCUCUCCAGGCCCAGCUCCAGCCUCCCGGCGGCCUCUGCAGGCCUAAGUCGUCCUCAAGUCGGCCUGGAAAUGGGCCUGGAAGAGCUGCAAGUCGGCCUCCCCGGGCCCAGCUCCGUCCUCUCGGCGGCCUCUCCAGGUGCAAAACUUCCUCGAGUCAGCCUCUCCAGGCCCAGCUCCUCCUGCCUCAGUGGCCUCUUUCGGCCCAGCCCAGCUCAUGGCUCUCGGCGGUCUUCCCAGGCCCCGCUUUUGACUUUUGGUGGCCUCUUCAGGCCCAGAACUUGACCUCCAGUCGGCCUUUGCAGGCCCGGCCUCCUGCCUCUCGAAGGUCUGCAUGGGCCCGGCCUCGGCCUCACAGCGGACUCUCCACGCCCAGCUAGCUCUCGCCUCACUGCACCCUCCCCAGUCCAAAGCUCCUGCCUUUCGGCCACUUCGGCAGGCCCAGCUCCUGCCUGCCAGUGGCCUCUUUAGGCCCAGCUCAUUCCUCACAACGGCCUUUCCAGGCCCCGUUUUUCCCUUCCGGCAGCCUCUUGGCCUCUAAUUUUUUUAUCUUUUGUGUAUAAAUCCCAAAUUAUGGAAUUUUGGAAUAUUUCCACCAUUAUAUAAAUAUUUUGGUAGGUAAUUUAUUUGGAGUGAGUUUCUGCACCAAGCCCGAAUUUUUUAUUUUAUUUUCCUUAUUAUUUGGUGUUAAACAGGUUUAAUGACGGUCAUGGCAACUUUUUGGCACAAUGAAAAAUAUCGCCCAUGAUCAACGUGUUCUGUUCUGGGGAAGGGGGCAAAGGCAGGGUGAAUCACUUUCUUAAAAAGUACAGCUUAAGUUGGGAGUGCAGAGGGAAUGGGGAGAAAACCCUCCCACUGCCUGUGUCGAAGUGCAGGAGCCCCCACCCCCAUACUCACCUGAGUCCAGCCCCUCU